RNAcentral lists this unclassified non-coding RNA (594 nucleotides) under Purpureocillium lilacinum. Its description in RNAcentral is "sequence contains 18S rRNA gene, ITS1, 5.8S rRNA gene, ITS2, 28S rRNA gene". The stretch from base 231 to 384 matches the Rfam family "5.8S ribosomal RNA". The record is from RNAcentral. Lineage: Eukaryota; Fungi; Ascomycota; Sordariomycetes; Hypocreales; Ophiocordycipitaceae.
GUAACAAGGUCUCCGUUGGUGAACCAGCGGAGGGAUCAUUACCGAGUUAUACAACUCCCAAACCCACUGUGAACCUUACCUCAGUUGCCUCGGCGGGAACGCCCCGGCCGCCUGCCCCCGCGCCGGCGCCGGACCCAGGCGCCCGCCGCAGGGACCCCAAACUCUCUUGCAUUACGCCCAGCGGGCGGAAUUUCUUCUCUGAGUUGCACAAGCAAAAACAAAUGAAUCAAAACUUUCAACAACGGAUCUCUUGGUUCUGGCAUCGAUGAAGAACGCAGCGAAAUGCGAUAAGUAAUGUGAAUUGCAGAAUUCAGUGAAUCAUCGAAUCUUUGAACGCACAUUGCGCCCGCCAGCAUUCUGGCGGGCAUGCCUGUUCGAGCGUCAUUUCAACCCUCGAGCCCCCCCGGGGGCCUCGGUGUUGGGGGACGGCACACCAGCCGCCCCCGAAAUGCAGUGGCGACCCCGCCGCAGCCUCCCCUGCGUAGUAGCACACACCUCGCACCGGAGCGCGGAGGCGGUCACGCCGUAAAACGCCCAACUUUCUUAGAGUUGACCUCGGAUCAGGUAGGAAUACCCGCUGAACUUAAGCAUAUC